UACGCUUCUUUUUCCACCGGAGCUUGCUUCCACCGGAAAAAGAGGAGUGGCGAACGGGUGAGUAACACGUGGGUAACCUGCCCAUCAGAAGGGGAUAACACUUGGAAACAGGUGCUAAUACCGUAUAACAAUCGAAACCGCAUGGUUUUGAUUUGAAAGGCGCUUUCGGGUGUCGCUGAUGGAUGGACCCGCGGUGCAUUAGCUAGUUGGUGAGGUAACGGCUCACCAAGGCCACGAUGCAUAGCCGACCUGAGAGGGUGAUCGGCCACAUUGGGACUGAGACACGGCCCAAACUCCUACGGGAGGCAGCAGUAGGGAAUCUUCGGCAAUGGACGAAAGUCUGACCGAGCAACGCCGCGUGAGUGAAGAAGGUUUUCGGAUCGUAAAACUCUGUUGUU
This 398-nucleotide ribosomal RNA is filed under the name Enterococcus faecium. RNAcentral describes it as "bacterial SSU rRNA". It matches the Rfam family "Bacterial small subunit ribosomal RNA", at positions 65 to 440 of the family's 1533-position model. The record is from RNAcentral. Lineage: Bacteria; Bacillati; Bacillota; Bacilli; Lactobacillales; Enterococcaceae.